AUUGAACGCUGGCGGCUGGCCUAACACAUGCCAGUCGAGCGGAUGAAGGGAGCUUGCUCCUGGAUUCAGCGGCGGACGGGCGAGUAAUGCCUAGGAAUCUGCCUGGCAGUGGGGGCUAACGUCCGGAAACGGGCGCUAAUACCGCAUACGUCCAGAGGGAGAAAGUGGGGGAUCUUCGGACCUCACGCUAUCAGAUGAGCCUAGGUCGGAUUAGCUAGUUGGUGGGGUAAAGGCCUACCAAGGCGACGAUCCGUAACUGGUCUGAGAGGAUGAUCAGUCACACUGGAACUGAGACACGGUCCAGACUCCUACGGGAGGCAGCAGUGGGGAAUAUUGGACAAUGGGCGAAAGCCUGAUCCAGCCAUGCCGCGUGUGUGAAGAAGGUCUUCGGAUUGUAAAGCACUUUAAGUUGGGAGGAAGGGCAGUAAGUUAAUACCUUGCUGUUUUGACGUUACCAACAGAAUAAGCACCGGCUAACUUCGUG
Molecule: ribosomal RNA, 484 nt
Filed under: uncultured bacterium
Lineage: Bacteria
Description: partial 16S ribosomal RNA
Rfam family: Bacterial small subunit ribosomal RNA
Source: RNAcentral